AGAACUCAGACCCUGCCAUGACUCCCUGAAUUCUUGGAAAAACUGCAUGUUCUGGGCAGUUCAGUGGGUGCCAUGAGCUGUAAGAUUCAAAUGGUUUCAUUUCUGUUCGUCUUUGCAUAUCAGAAUCCAGAUGAGCCCUUGAGCUUUGACACUGACCAGGGUAAUUCUUCAGCAUUAAAUUGCAGUGAGAACAAUGGAACUGAGCUGAGAUGUUCCCAGGGCAGCAGUGAAUCUCAAAUAAACUGUUCUGUAAAGAAACACUGCAUUGUUUCUGGGCUGAAUCUUUGUUCCAUUGGCCCCACCUCCUCUGUUGGGAAACCUUGGCCACUCAACCCACGCUGCCACUCCAGGGAAGAAUCUCCAGGACUUUUCCAGGCAAGGAGAGGUUCUUUGGUGAACGUUUUCUCAGAAGGCACAAACUGAAGCAGUAGUUUUGCAUUUGCUUGGUGGAUCUUCUCCCUAGCACAUGCUCAAUGCUUGGAUGAAUGAGUUAUUUAAGUGUAUUUGAAGGUUGUGACAGACACCUGUAAACAGACAGAUAUUGAUAAAAAUGUCAUUUGGAGGCAGAUCUGUGCUUUUCUUGCAAUCCAAUUACUCCUGAUGGCGAGGAGCCCGGAGCUCCCAGCACUGAGCAUUAACCCAGAGUGUGAUGGACAGGCUGCCCUCACAGGGGAGCAUGAGCAGGGCCUGCUUCACCUCCGGCUCUGACCAAACUCCAGGAGUUCAUGGAGAUAUCUGUAAUUCCCACCAGAGCGAAAGGGGACUGACUCCAGAUGUGUCCAUGGGCUUUGUGUGGACCUUGUGUCAGCUGAAGGUGCUGAAGGAUCCAGCCUGACCUGCUCCUGAAAUUACCCAGCUGGAGAUCUGGCUGCAAAAGGUUCCCUUUGGAAUAUUCCCUGGGAUUUGCUGCCCUGUAAGUCAUGCAGGAAGGAGUUCCUGUGGCUGUUCCCAGAGAAGCUGUGACUGCCCCAUCCCUGGAAGUGUUCAAGGCCAGGUUGGAAGAAACUGGGAUAGUGGAAGGUGUCCCUGCCCAUGGUAGGGGGUGGAAUGGGAUGAGCUGGAACUUCCAACCCAACCCAUUCCAUGAUUUUUUUGAUUCUUUAUUCGUGGUAAGAACAGUGAGACUGUG
RNAcentral lists this long non-coding RNA (1129 nucleotides) under Parus major (Great Tit). RNAcentral describes it as "lncRNA (ENSPMJG00000006610.1)". Lineage: Eukaryota; Metazoa; Chordata; Aves; Passeriformes; Paridae. The record is from RNAcentral.